This 565-nucleotide ribosomal RNA is filed under the name Ogataea polymorpha. Its description in RNAcentral is "eukaryotic LSU rRNA". It matches the Rfam family "Eukaryotic large subunit ribosomal RNA", at positions 63 to 648 of the family's 3401-position model. Lineage: Eukaryota; Fungi; Ascomycota; Pichiomycetes; Pichiales; Pichiaceae. The record is from RNAcentral.
AACCAACAGGGAUUGCCUUAGUAGCGGCGAGUGAAGCGGCAAGAGCUCAAAUUUGAAAUCUGGUACCUUCGGUGCCCGAGUUGUAAUUUGAAGAAAGCUAUCUUGGAGGUGGCCUUUGUCUAUGUUCCUUGGAACAGGACGUCAUGGAGGGUGAGAAUCCCGUGUGAUGAGGUGUCCAUUUCCGUGUAAGAUGCUUUCGAAGAGUCGAGUUGUUUGGGAAUGCAGCUCAAAGUGGGUGGUAAAUUCCAUCUAAAGCUAAAUAUUGGCGAGAGACCGAUAGCGAACAAGUACUGUGAAGGAAAGAUGAAAAGAACUUUGAAAAGAGAGUGAAAAAGUACGUGAAAUUGUUGAAAGGGAAGGGUAUUUGAUCAGACUUGGUAUUUAGCUAUCAUCGCUCCUUGUGGGUGGUGCUCUAGCUUUUUACUGGGCCAGCAUCAGUUUUGGUGGCAAGAUAAUGACAGUUGAAUGUGGCUCCUCGGAGUGUUAUAGCUUCUGUUGAUGUUGCCUACCGAGACUGAGGUCUGCGGCUUUUGCCUAGGAUGCUGGCGUAAUGAUCCAAUACCGC